CAUUUUAACAAUAUUCUUCCAAUCCAUGAACAUGGAAUGUUUUUCCAUUCUUUGUGUGUUCUUCAAUUUUCUUCAUAAGUUUUCUAUAGUUUUCAGCAUGUGGAUCUUUCACAUCUUUGGUUAGGUUUAUUUCUAGGUUUUUUAUGGUUCUUCGUACAAUUGUAAAUGGGAUCGACUUCUUGAUUUCUCUUUCUGUUGCUUCAUUGUUGGUAUAUAGAAAUGCAACCAACUUCUGUACACUGAUUUUGUAUCCUGCAACUUUGCUGAAUUCAUGUAUCAGUUCUAGCAGCCUUUUUGGUGGAGUCUUGCAGGUUUUUCAUGUAGAGUAUCCUGUCAUCUGCGAAAAGUGAAAGUUCGACUUCUUCUUUGUCAAUUUUGAUGCCAUUUAUUUCAUUUUGUUGUCUGAUUGCUGACGCUAGGACUUCCAACACUAUGUUAAGCAACAGUGGUGACAGUGGACAUCCCUGUCAUGUUCCUGAUCUCAGGGGGAAAGCUCUCAGUUUUUCCCCAUUGAGGAUGAUAUUAGCUGUGGGCUUUUCAUAUAUGGCUUUUAUGUUGUUAAGUGUGAUGUAUCACAUUGGUUGAUUUGCAAAUAUUGAACCAGCCCUGCAGCCCAGAAAUGAAUCCCACUUGAUCACGGUGAAUAUUUCUUUUUAUAUGCUGUUGAAUUCAAUUUACUAGUACCUUGUUGAUAAUUUUUGCAUCUGUGUUCAUCAGGGAUAUUGGCCUGUAAUUCUCCUUUUUUGUGGGAUCUCUGUCUAGUUUGGGAAUCAAAGUAAUGCUGGUUUAACUUUCCAUAUUUUAAAGACA
This is a long non-coding RNA of Neofelis nebulosa (Clouded leopard), 810 nucleotides long. RefSeq lists it as uncharacterized. The transcript has 2 exons. The record is from RefSeq and is a predicted model, not a curated record. NCBI's taxonomy places the organism in Eukaryota, Metazoa, Chordata, Mammalia, Carnivora, Felidae.